RNAcentral lists this ribosomal RNA (1236 nucleotides) under human gut metagenome. RNAcentral's name for it is "bacterial LSU rRNA". It matches the Rfam family "Bacterial large subunit ribosomal RNA", at positions 828 to 2082 of the family's 2925-position model. The record is from RNAcentral.
UCCAAUCGAACCCGGAGAUAGCUGGUUCUCCCCGAAAUAGCUUUAGGGCUAGCGUCGGAAAGAACCUUAGUGAAGGUAGAGCACUGAAUGUGUGAUGGCCCCAUCCCGGGGUACUGAAUACAAUCAAACUGCGAAUGUCAUUAAGGAUGUCCGGCAGUCAGACUGUGAGUGAUAAGGUCCAUGGUCAAGAGGGAAACAGCCCAGACCGCCAGUUAAGGUCCCAAAAUACAGGCUAAGUGGAAAAGGAUGUGGGGAUGCCCAGACAACUAGGAGGUUGGCUCAGAAGCAGCCAUCCUUUAAAGAGUGCGUAACAGCUCACUAGUCGAAUGACUCUGCGCCGAUAAUUUACCGGGGCUAAGCAUACUACCGAAGCUAUGGAUCCCAAGGGAUGGUAGGGGAGCGUUCCAUGAACGGAGAAGUACGACCGAAAGGACGUGUGGAGAUCAUGGAAGAGAGAAUGCCGGUGUGAGUAGCGGAACGUGGGUGAGAAUCCCACGCACCGAAAACCCAAGGUUUCCAGAGGAAGGUUCGUCCGCUCUGGGUAAGUCGGGACCUAAGGCGAGGCCGAAAGGCGUAGUCGAUGGACAACAGGUAGAGAUUCCUGUACCCGUAUAUAUGUGAAGGAAUGACGGAGAGAGGAAGCUGCAGCCAGCGGCUGGAAGAGCUGGUGCAAGCGAGAUAUCGGGAUGGCAGGCAAAUCCACCAUCCGAAACGAGAAGGCGUGAAGCGUACGGAAAGCUACGGCGAGUACGGAAGGCAGUGGAGGAACUUCCAAGAAAAGUUUCUAACGUAAAGUAUAUAUGGCCCGUACCGAAAAUGGACACACAUGGGUGAGGAGAGAAUCCUAAGGUGAGCGAGAGAACUAUAGCUAAGGAACUCUGCAAAAUGACUCCGUAACUUAGGGAGAAGGAGUGCUCAUAGAGAUAUGAGCCGCAGUGAAACGGCCCAAGCGACUGUUUACCAAAAACACAGCUCUCUGCUAAGCCGCAAGGCGAAGUAUAGGGGGUGACGCCUGCCCGGUGCUGGAAGGUUAAGGGGAGGGGUUAACGCAAGUGAAGCCCUGAACUGAAGCCCCAGUAAACGGCGGCCGUAACUAUAACGGUCCUAAGGUAGCGAAAUUCCUUGUCGGGUAAGUUCCGACCCGCACGAAUGGUGUAAUGAUCUGGGCACUGUCUCAAUUACCCGCCCGGCGAAAUUGUAGUACCGGUGAAGAUGCCGGUUACCCGCGACAAGACG